GUGGCUGUCUGCCUGUCUGUAUGUGUGGAUGUUUGCCUCGGUGUCAGUGACUGUCUGCCUCUGUGUGUGUGUGCGCACCUGCUAGUGAGGGAGCCUGUGUGUGUGUGUGUCAGUGAGCUUGUCUGUAGGGAUCAUAUGUGUGUGUGUUAGUGAGCUCUUGUCUGUAAGGAGCAUGGGUGUGAUCGUGGGCUUGUCUGUAGUGAGCGUGUGUGUCAGUGAGUUUGUCUGUAGUGAGCGUGUGUGUCAGUGAACGUGUGUGUCAGUGAGCUUGUCUGUAGUGACCAUAUGUGUCAGUGAGCUUGUCUGUAGUGAGUGUGUGUGUCAGUGAGCUUGUCUGUAGUGACCAUAUGUGUCAGUGAGCUUGUCUGUAGUGAGCGUGUGUGUCAGUGAGCUUGUUUGUAGUGAGCAUAUGUGUGUCAGUGAGCUUGUCUGUAGUGAAUCUGUGUUAGUGAGCUCUUCUGUAGGGAGCAUGUGUGUGUCAAUGGGCGUGUCUGUAGGGAGAGUGUGUGCGCAUCAGCGAGCUUGUCUGUAGUGAGCGUGUGUGUGUGACAGUGAGCUUGUCUGUAGUAAGCUUGUGUGUGUAUCAGAGUUUGUCUGUACUAAAUUUGUGUGUCUGCCAGUAACCUUAUCUGUGUGUGUCAUUGAGAUUGUCUGUCAAUGAGCCUAUUUGUGUGCAUCAGUAAGAUUGUCUGUGUCUGUGUGUGAGUAUGCUUUACUGUAUAAUUUAAUUACCCUGAAAGGACUAAUAUUUUGAAUUAGAAGAAG
Pelobates cultripes (western spadefoot toad) is the source of this 765-nucleotide non-coding RNA. The record is from the annotation of a GenBank genome assembly. NCBI's taxonomy places the organism in Eukaryota, Metazoa, Chordata, Amphibia, Anura, Pelobatidae.